Molecule: long non-coding RNA, 730 nt
Organism: Peromyscus californicus insignis
Lineage: Eukaryota; Metazoa; Chordata; Mammalia; Rodentia; Cricetidae
Exons: 6
Source: RefSeq, a predicted model, not a curated record
GUCAUGCUCAGCAUUGUGUGAGCUAUGCUGGCAAGUACAAAGACCUGGAAACUGCAUAUUUAUUGUUCUAUUUAAGUAAUGAUAUCCAUUUCACCUAGGAAGAGAACGCUUGAAAAUGUGCUAUGAAUCAACUGGAAAAAGCCACUGUAAAGCAAUGUACAGCUGAAACUGGGAUGUAGAGAUGUGUGGUGGAGAAAGAGGAAGUGAAGUAACAUACUGAAAAAUAUUGCUGCACAGUGGUGGCACUAAUACAACAGAGGUUUCCUGGCCAGCUGCAACCCUUCGAAUCAAUGGGAGAGGAAAGUGACAAAAACAUCAAUCAAACAGGAAGAAGCUGUUAAGGCUGUUAACGCCCUUUCAGAUGAACAAUGAUUUCCACGGGGAUUUAAAUAAAUAUUCAUGAAAAGGACCAAUGACAGAAAUUUCACCAAAACUACACCAUGUUUUGAGACAGAGUCUCACUAUAUAUCCCUAGUUGGUCUAGAACUCUCUACAUAGACCAAGACAGCUUUGAACUUGCAGUGAUCCCUCUGCUUCCCGAAUGCCAGGAUUACAGGAACUCUAAACUCUUGAAGCAUUUCCCAUCUAAUCGGCACCCUCUGUAUGCUGCUAGUAACUCAACAUGUGUGAGCCUUGAGGAAGCAGCUGAGCACAAGUUAACAGACUGAUGACUGGACUACAGCCUAUGCAUCCAUGAGACUGGCUGACUGGACUACAGCCUGUGCAUCCA